CAGCUUUUAGCCAGUUUCCAUCUACCCCACAGCCAUAAACCUGCUCCCUAAUCCCCAUCCAGAUGCACAGAGAAGGUUUGGAAUGCAUGUUUUCCCUGAAGAAGUGUGGCCAGGCUGGCAGUUCCCAGUGUGGGGCAGAAGCACAGACUGGCAGGGGUGGAGAUGUCCAGCAGGCAUGGCCAUGCCCAGGACAAGCAGCAGUGACGUAAAGUGGAAUGGAGCAGAGGUGCCCACAUGCAGAAGGACAGAGGUGCCCACAUGCAUCAGAGUGUCCUCUGGAUGCAGAAGCAGAAGGACAGAGGUGCCCACAUGCAUCAGAGUGUCCUCUGGAUGCAGGAGCUGUGACCAGAGAAACACCAGUGCCCACUGAGACAGAAGGACAGAGGUGCCCCACAGAGUCAGCAUUUGGAGCCAAGGGCCAGCAAAAGAGGCUGGGAGCCUGGAGACACCAUGUGGUGGCUGAGUGGACUUGGGCUUAAGCUCCUAGAGGGUUCCCAGAAACAGGUACAGAAGGUUCUGCCAGGAGCUGAAGACUUGCUCUGGCUGGUGGCGAGUGGACUGACUGCUGUCCAAGUCAUCUGGGUUUUAACCUAGCCUGCCCAAGGAAUUCUGGGGUAUUUGUCAAUAUCCUAAUCUCCUUGGGAUAAAGCCUGCUUUGACACAUGCCUUGAGCACUCAUCUCUCUCUCUCCCUCUCUCUCUCUUUUUCCUCUCUCUCUCCUGUCUCUCUGUCUCUGUCUCUGUCUUUCUGGGGUUUUGUCUAUCUCUGUCUUUGUCUCUAUCUCUCCAUCUCCAUGUGUGUCUCUGUCCGUCUUAUUCUCCCUGCCUCCAUUCCCACACAAUGCCUGACUCAUUCUGGGCAUUUGACCAAUAUUUUUUGACUUCAUAUUAUGUAAAAUUUCACACACACACAAAAGCAGCAGAAUAAUAUAAGGACCCCUCCUGUCCACAUCACCCAGUUUUAAUGAUCAUGGACAUCUUCACCCACUAUCACCCCCCCCAAAAAAUAAUCUAUUUUGAAACAAGCUCAGACAUCACCCAUAAAUAUUUCAGAUGCCUCUAAACAAUAAGGACUCUGUAAAAACCAUAACCACAAUUCCACUAGCACAGUCAUA
This 1114-nucleotide long non-coding RNA is filed under the name Vulpes vulpes (red fox). Its description in RNAcentral is "lncRNA (ENSVVUG00000005442.1)". The record is from RNAcentral. Lineage: Eukaryota; Metazoa; Chordata; Mammalia; Carnivora; Canidae.